Molecule: RNA transcript, 1948 nt
Organism: Glycine soja
Lineage: Eukaryota; Viridiplantae; Streptophyta; Magnoliopsida; Fabales; Fabaceae
Gene name: RNA-binding protein 38-like
Exons: 7
Source: RefSeq, a predicted model, not a curated record
AACACUUCAAGUGAGAUAGUAACGCAGCUGUCACUUGUGUGAUAUCCUACAACUACAAAGCCCACAACCCUCCUCUUCUCUCUUUGGCCAGCAAAUUAGAGUUUGCAGCUGUAAGAUUUCUUUCUCUCUCCUCCACCACCACCACCCUUUUUCUCACUCCCUUUUCCUUUUCUCUUAAAAUACUUUAAAAAUUAACAACUCCUUUUAUUUUCCUUUCUACAUUUUUUUAAUUAACCAACUUCUCUGUCACAAACAACCAUCAAAUAAUAACGAUACCACACACCAUCAUAAACCAUCCACCACCCUUUUCCCCUUAGCCCCUCUUCUCAAAUUCAAUGAUUCUUCUGUGGUGAAUGGUGGAGGAGCACAACUACAACUACAAGGCACAAGAAGAAGAAGAAGAAGAAGAAGAAGGGGGUGUUGUUGAAUGGUGGAGCACAACUACAACUACAAGACACAAGAAGAAGAAAAUGGCAGAGACAAGUUAAUUAUAAUUAGAGAUCAGAAGAAGAAACAAGGACACACACAGACACACCCUUUUGAGCUUAACUAGCUUUUUUCAUGCAUGAACAAGGGCACCCUUUAUUUCUUCCUUUGAGACACUAUGGCUUACCCGCAUUACCGAUCACAGUUCGGAGACACAACGUUCACUAAGGUCUUCGUUGGAGGCCUAGCUUGGGAGACUCCAACCGAAGAAAUGCGCAAAUAUUUUGAGCAGUUUGGCGACAUUCUUGAAGCUGUCAUUAUCACUGAUAAGAGCACAGGAAAAUCUAAAGGCUACGGAUUCGUAACAUUCCGUGAUCCAGAAUCAGCUAGAAGGGCAUGUGCUGAUCCAAACCCAGUUAUAGAUGGAAGAAGAGCAAAUUGUAACAUUGCUUCUCUAGGAAGACCUAGACCAUCACCACCUAGAGGAAGAGGUACAUUCCAAGGAGGAGCACCAGUGACGGCAGCAGCGUCUUACGGUGGAGUGCCGGCGGCUGGGCCGCCGGCACUGGCGCCGCCGCCACCGCCGCUAGUGUACCCGCCAUAUGGCUACCCUACCUACACCCCUGAUUAUGGGUACCACCAAGCCUCAUUGUAUAACCCACAAAUUCAGCAACCACAAUACUACCACCAACAACUCUACGGACCAUCAUCUUCCACCAUGGGUUCCCCUUAUUACUAUGGCUAUUCUGUGCAAGCACCAAGGGGCACAUUCUCUUCAACCCAACCACAUCGCAUACCAGCUGGACCCUCCUAUCUAUACUACCCUACACCCAUGGAAAGCUCUUUCUCUGCUUAUCGUCCACCACCUCAAUUGCAACAACUUCCAAUAAGGCAACCCCCUCCUUCCCCUAGUGGGGUCCACAUGGGCAACCCCAGCCCCAUGUGAAUGAGCUGUCCCGGUUGUGCCAUGAACCGUAUAAUGUAUCGGUCAAUGUGGAAGAAAGUCAUGACAGAGGGAGAGGUCAUCAUGUAAAGUAACAGUGAAUGCAUGUGGUUUCAGUAGGAAAAAAAUAAUAUUGUGGUGGUUAAAUUGUUUAAAGAACCAGUCAAAUGGUCUUGCAUACUUGCAUUGGCCCACAGUGCAUGUUUCAUACUACCACUGCUAUUCACAGACUCAGCAGCGUGCCUCCUCCGAGACAGCAGGAGGAGUAGUUAUAACUUCAGAAAGUUCAAAUACCCAAGGGAGGAACUGAUAAAUAUAUAUACCUGCUAAGUUUCAACUGUAUAAUCUUCAAAUUAAAUUUCAUCACAUUAAUUCUUGAUCUUUUUCCACAUCAUAUCUUCAUUUUUUUGGUCCACAUGCUGUAGCUUUUAGGCAAUAAUGGUUCUUAUCAGAUUAGUUGUGUUCCCCAUAGCUAUGGCAUUCAAAAGUUGGACUAAUCUACUUCAUGGAGAUUAUCUUCAUUCUCUUUUCCUUGUCUUCAAGGAUUUUCACUUAUAUCACUUUCACUAAUUAAUUCUA